CUGGUUGUCCAUACCACCCUGAACGCACGCGAUCUCAUCUGAUCUCAGACACUAAGCAGGGUCUGGCCUGGUUAGUUCUUGGAAUGAUUUGCUGUAACAGAACUUUAGCAAAUAUAUCAGC
Cavia aperea (Brazilian guinea pig) is the source of this 121-nucleotide ribosomal RNA. Lineage: Eukaryota; Metazoa; Chordata; Mammalia; Rodentia; Caviidae. The record is from Ensembl.